This 468-nucleotide ribosomal RNA is filed under the name uncultured bacterium. RNAcentral's name for it is "partial 16S ribosomal RNA". It matches the Rfam family "Bacterial small subunit ribosomal RNA", at positions 28 to 507 of the family's 1533-position model. The record is from RNAcentral.
GACGAACGCUGGCGGCGUGCUUAACACAUGCAAGUCGAACGGAAAGGCCCUGCUUUUGUGGGGUGCUCGAGUGGCGAACGGGUGAGUAACACGUGAGUAACCUGCCCUUGACUUUGGGAUAACUUCAGGAAACUGGGGCUAAUACCUGAUAGGAGCUCCUGCUGCAUGGUGGGGGUUGGAACGUUUCGGCGGUUGGGGAUGGACUCGCGGCUUAUCAGCUUGUUGGUGGGGUAGUGGCUUACCAAGGCUUUGACGGGUAGCCGGCCUGAGAGGGUGACCGGCCACAUGGGGACUGAGAGACGGCCCAGACUCCUACGGGAGGCAGCAGUGGGGAAUAUUGCACAAUGGGCGGAAGCCUGAUGCAGCAACGCCGCGUGCGGGAUGACGGCCUUCGGGUUGUAAACCGCUUUCGCCUGUGACGAAGCGUGAGUGACGGUAAUGGGUAAAGAAGCACCGGCUAACUACGUG